UACGUAGGUGGCGAGCGUUAUCCGGAAUUACUGGGCGUAAAGCGCACGCAGGCGGUCUUUUAAGUUUGACGUGAAAGCUCCCGGCUUAACUGGGAGAGGUCGUUGAAGACUGGAAGGCUUGAGGCAAUGAGAGGGGUGUAGAAUUCCCGGUGUAGUGGUGGAAUGCGCAGAUAUCGGGAGGAACACCGGUGGCGAAGGCAAUCCCCUGGGCCUGUACUGACGCUCAUGCACGAAAGCGUGGGGAGCAAACAGG
This 253-nucleotide ribosomal RNA is filed under the name uncultured bacterium. RNAcentral describes it as "partial 16S ribosomal RNA". It matches the Rfam family "Bacterial small subunit ribosomal RNA", at positions 524 to 776 of the family's 1533-position model. The record is from RNAcentral.